This 1228-nucleotide ribosomal RNA is filed under the name Neocalanus cristatus. Its description in RNAcentral is "lrRNA". The stretch from base 860 to 1185 matches the Rfam family "Archaeal large subunit ribosomal RNA", at positions 2153 to 2718 of the family's 2987-position model. The record is from RNAcentral. Lineage: Eukaryota; Metazoa; Arthropoda; Copepoda; Calanoida; Calanidae.
UAAUCAUUUUAAAAAGUGUUUUGAAAACAUUUAUAAGAAAAAUUUCUGAUGAUUUAUCUACCUUAUAAUUUAAAUAAAAUUUUAGUUUUGUAAACUAAUCAUGUCUACGACUGGGGUAUGAGUGGCUAUCAUAUUCCUCACAAAUUUAGAGUAAUGAUGUAAUCUAGGUGUACAAAUAUUUAAUAAUAAAAAUUAUUAGUUGAAAUACAAGUCUURAUACCUUUUGCAUCAUGUAUAAAUGAUCUGUUCUAAUAAUUUAUCUCACGAACUACUUAGAAUAAAAAUUAUAGUAUUAAAAUUGUUAUAGCAAUUUAAUGAAUAUAAUUUUUGGGAUGAUAUGUUAACAUAAAAUAGAUUCUUGUUAAAUUUAAGUUAGAUUUAAUCUAAUUCUAAGAAAAUUAAAAUGCUUUAAAAGAUAAGUUUUAAAGUAGUAGUAAAAUUAAAAUAGUAUCAGUACUUAAUAAAAAUAUUAAUGUUUAUAAGAGUAUGUUAAAAUUCUCAUUAAUCUUAAUUUAGAUAAUUUACUGUACUAAAUUUAAUAGAAAAUAAUAAUAUAUAUCUGUAUAAUAUAUUUAUAUUAGUAGUUAAUGUGUAAUUAAUUAUACAAUUAAGCAAUUUUAUUAUCAAAAUAAAAAAUAGGAUAAAAUAACUCUACAUAAAUUAUUUAGCCUGUUUAUCAAAAACAUUGUAAAUAAUAUUUAUAUCACCUGCUCAAUGAAUAGUUUAAAUAGCCGCGUUAGUGCUAAGGUAGCAUAGUAAUUAGUUUUUUAAUUGAGAAAUAGAAUGAAUGGUAUCACUAAGAUAUCUUUUUUAGGACAUAUUUUGAAAUUUUAGUUUAAGUGAAAAUACUUAAGAACUUUUUUUAGACGAGAAGACCCUAUGAAGCUGGUAGAUAUUAAAUAUAAUUAUUUAUCUUAGUAAAAAUCUAUUUUUUGGGGUAAAAAUUAAAAUUAUUAUUUAAAUAUAUAUAUAUAAAAUGAGCCUCUUGGAAUAAUAAAGAAGCUCCUCUAGGGAUAACAGCAUUAUACCUAUAAGAGUUCUUAUCAGAAUAGGUGUUUGUGACCUCGAUGUUGAAUUAAAUACUCAUAUUUGUGCAGGAGCUAAUAUGAGAUGGUCUGUUCGACCUUAAAAAUUUACAUGAUUUGAGUUAAAAUCGACGYAAGUCAGAUUGGUUUCUAUCUAAAAAUUAAAUAACUAUUAUUUAGUACGAAAGGAAUAAUAAUAGGUU